AGAAGACAUAACAUGAACCUUGUCAUGCCCUAGUUCUUUCCUCAAAAUAUAUGUUAAAUCUUUUCCUGCUGCUGUAAAACAAACAUCUCCUACCAUAAAUCUAAAAUUAUGAAUUACUGUUAAAGAAUUUAAAUAUACAUUAUACUACAAUUAUUAAUAACAUUUAUAUCCUAUUUGAUCAGAAUGGUUACCUCGAAAAGAAUUUAUUACUUGAUGUAUAUAUGUGAACAUUUGCAUUGUAUAUACAGUUCAUACGUCUCAUAUAUGUUAAACGAUUUAUGACCACUUUGUAUAAAUAAAUCAUAAGCAAGAUUCGUGGAUGCUGCAACCAUAUAGCUAACUCUAAGUUAUUUUCAAUAGACAUAUACCGUUUUAAGAACGUGUCUUUUUUCAUUUCCAAAGCUUUCACUACAGUAUAUAAAGAUUCAGUUGGUAUUUUAAAGUUUUGGAAAAUUUGUAAUAAUUCUUUUACUUCAUUUGCAUUACGAAGCAGGAGUCGGGGAUACAUUCUUAUUAUUUCAAUUAUAUUUUUAUCAUUUAUUUUUACGUAUUUAAAUUCAUUUAAAAAUUGUUCAACGUUGUCAACAUCCACAUUUAAAAGGUAUUCGUGUUGUUUUAAGAAUUCUAUUCUUCAAGAUUUUAGGGUUGAGUACUAAGCAUUCUUGCAAAUAUUUGUUCUUCUUUAAUCUUACAUUAAAAUUCUAGUAAAACAGGA
Molecule: unclassified non-coding RNA, 715 nt
Filed under: Bombus terrestris (buff-tailed bumblebee)
Lineage: Eukaryota; Metazoa; Arthropoda; Insecta; Hymenoptera; Apidae
Description: misc RNA ENSBTSG00005029741.1
Source: RNAcentral